This 633-nucleotide long non-coding RNA is filed under the name Malus domestica (apple). RNAcentral describes it as "long non-coding RNA (MDOM_LNC008412)". The record is from RNAcentral. Lineage: Eukaryota; Viridiplantae; Streptophyta; Magnoliopsida; Rosales; Rosaceae.
CUCCACACAUGACCCACUUGCAUACAAAUCAAUCUCCAAUUGCUUUUCAAUAAACUAUGAUGCUUAACACCCCAGAUUAAUCGUGAUGCACAAAUUAACCCUCAGAUUUUCCUUUACUCAUUGAAUUGGAUGAAUACAUGCGACAACCCAAAUCAUUCUCUAAAAGUCCCCUAUAUGAAUGCAUAAUAGAUAUACAAUUAAAGAUCAUUAAGUUCCAUGAAAAUCAUAAGCGUUGACGAGGCAAUUGUAACUAUGAAUGCAUGAUACAUUUGCCAAGAAUUCAAUUAACGCGAUUGUGACAAGCAACCUUCACUACUCAUGAAUAUAAACUUGUACCGAUUAGGUGAAACUUAUUUAUAUCCUAGCAUCAAAUUCAUGCAUGAAAACUAAGUAUGCAUCCUUAAUAAACAUACACAAAUCCGUUAUGAAUAAAAUAGAUAAUUGAAUUGCAAUCACAACUUAUCAAGUCACAAUUGGAAGAAAUCGAUUCAUAUUGCAAAUAUAUUCAUGGUUUCGAAUUCUCCUCUAGCCAAAAGAGGUUUAGUUCCUCAUACUUGCAAUUAAACAGAAACAAUUGAAAUUAAACAUUGAAAACCAAAGUAGAAUACACCUAGAAUGCUUCAGCAAUCCAAU